UACAGAGGUCUCAAGCGUUGUUCGGAUUCAUUGGGCGUAAAGGGUGCGUAGGUGGCGCCGUAAGUCAGGUGUGAAAUUUCGGAGCUUAACUCCGAAACUGCAUUUGAUACUGCGGUGCUUGAGGACUGGAGAGGAGACUGGAAUUCACGGUGUAGCAGUGAAAUGCGUAGAUAUCGUGAGGAAGACCAGUGGCGAAGGCGGGUUGCUGGGCUGACACUGACGCUGAUGCGCGAAAGCCAGGGGAGCGAACGGG
This 253-nucleotide ribosomal RNA is filed under the name uncultured bacterium. RNAcentral describes it as "partial 16S ribosomal RNA". It matches the Rfam family "Bacterial small subunit ribosomal RNA", at positions 524 to 776 of the family's 1533-position model. The record is from RNAcentral.